This 768-nucleotide ribosomal RNA is filed under the name Staphylococcus aureus. RNAcentral describes it as "bacterial SSU rRNA". It matches the Rfam family "Bacterial small subunit ribosomal RNA", at positions 28 to 776 of the family's 1533-position model. Lineage: Bacteria; Bacillati; Bacillota; Bacilli; Caryophanales; Staphylococcaceae. The record is from RNAcentral.
GAUGGACGCUGGCGGCGUGCCUAAUACAUGCAAGUCGAGCGAACGGACGAGAAGCUUGCUUCUCUGAUGUUAGCGGCGGACGGGUGAGUAACACGUGGAUAACCUACCUAUAAGACUGGGAUAACUUCGGGAAACCGGAGCUAAUACCGGAUAAUAUUUUGAACCGCAUGGUUCAAAAGUGAAAGACGGUCUUGCUGUCACUUAUAGAUGGAUCCGCGCUGCAUUAGCUAGUUGGUAAGGUAACGGCUUACCAAGGCAACGAUGCAUAGCCGACCUGAGAGGGUGAUCGGCCACACUGGAACUGAGACACGGUCCAGACUCCUACGGGAGGCAGCAGUAGGGAAUCUUCCGCAAUGGGCGAAAGCCUGACGGAGCAACGCCGCGUGAGUGAUGAAGGUCUUCGGAUCGUAAAACUCUGUUAUUAGGGAAGAACAUAUGUGUAAGUAACUGUGCACAUCUUGACGGUACCUAAUCAGAAAGCCACGGCUAACUACGUGCCAGCAGCCGCGGUAAUACGUAGGUGGCAAGCGUUAUCCGGAAUUAUUGGGCGUAAAGCGCGCGUAGGCGGUUUUUUAAGUCUGAUGUGAAAGCCCACGGCUCAACCGUGGAGGGUCAUUGGAAACUGGAAAACUUGAGUGCAGAAGAGGAAAGUGGAAUUCCAUGUGUAGCGGUGAAAUGCGCAGAGAUAUGGGAGGAACACCCAGUGGCGAAGGCGAUUUUCUGGUCUGUAGCUGACGCUGAUGUGCGAAAGCGUGGGGAUCAAACACG